RNAcentral lists this ribosomal RNA (223 nucleotides) under uncultured bacterium. RNAcentral describes it as "partial 16S ribosomal RNA". It matches the Rfam family "Bacterial small subunit ribosomal RNA", at positions 28 to 243 of the family's 1533-position model. The record is from RNAcentral.
GACUAACGUUGGCGGCGUGCCUAAUACAUGCAAGUCGAACGCUUUGGUAGCAAUAUCAGAGAAUGGCGAACGGGUGAGUAACACGUGGAUGAUCUACCUCUAAGAUUGAGAUAACCCAUCGAAAGGUGGGCUAAUACCGAAUAUGACUACGAUCCGUAUCCGGAAUGUAGUAAAAGGCGGGACCGCAAGGCCUGCCACUUAGAGAUGAGUCUGCGGCUGAUAG